UACGUAGGGUGCGAGCGUUGUCCGGAAUUAUUGGGCGUAAAGAGCUUGUAGGCGGUUUGUCGCGUCUGCUGUGAAAAUCCGGGGCUCAACCCCGGACUUGCAGUGGGUACGGGCAGACUAGAGUGUGGUAGGGGAGACUGGAAUUCCUGGUGUAGCGGUGAAAUGCGCAGAUAUCAGGAGGAACACCGAUGGCGAAGGCGGCAUCCUGGACCAUUACUGACGCUGAUGAGCGAAAGCCAGGGGAGCAAACGGG
Molecule: ribosomal RNA, 253 nt
Filed under: uncultured bacterium
Lineage: Bacteria
Description: partial 16S ribosomal RNA
Rfam family: Bacterial small subunit ribosomal RNA
Source: RNAcentral